CCAACGGGAGGCAGCAGUCGAGAAUUUUUCUCAAUGGGCGAAAGCUUGAAGGAGCGACGCCGCGUGGGGGAUGAAGGGCUUCGGCUCGUAAACCCCUGUCAUUUGCGAACAAACCUUCUCACCUAAUACGUGGGGAGCUGAUAGUAGCGAAAGAGGAAGGGACGGCUAACUCUGUGCCAGCAGCCGCGGUAAUACAGAGGUCCCAAGCGUUGUUCGGAUUCACUGGGCGUAAAGGGUGCGUAGGUGGCGAGGUAAGUUUGAUGUGAAAUCGCCGGGCUUAACCCGGAAACUGCAUUGAAUACUAGCUGGCUAGAGGGUCGGAGGGGAGACUGGAAUUCUCGGUGUAGCGGUGAAAUGCGUAGAUAUCGAGAGGAACACCAGUGGCGAAAGCGAGUCUCUGGACGACUCCUGACACUGAGGCACGAAAGCUAGGGGAUCAAACA
This 443-nucleotide ribosomal RNA is filed under the name uncultured prokaryote. RNAcentral's name for it is "bacterial SSU rRNA". It matches the Rfam family "Bacterial small subunit ribosomal RNA", at positions 338 to 774 of the family's 1533-position model. The record is from RNAcentral.